RNAcentral lists this ribosomal RNA (2039 nucleotides) under Escherichia coli. Its description in RNAcentral is "partial 23S ribosomal RNA". It matches the Rfam family "Bacterial large subunit ribosomal RNA", at positions 922 to 2925 of the family's 2925-position model. The record is from RNAcentral. Lineage: Bacteria; Pseudomonadati; Pseudomonadota; Gammaproteobacteria; Enterobacterales; Enterobacteriaceae.
GGGGGUCAUCCCGACUUACCAACCCGAUGCAAACUGCGAAUACCGGAGAAUGUUAUCACGGGAGACACACGGCGGGUGCUAACGUCCGUCGUGAAGAGGGAAACAACCCAGACCGCCAGCUAAGGUCCCAAAGUCAUGGUUAAGUGGGAAACGAUGUGGGAAGGCCCAGACAGCCAGGAUGUUGGCUUAGAAGCAGCCAUCAUUUAAAGAAAGCGUAAUAGCUCACUGGUCGAGUCGGCCUGCGCGGAAGAUGUAACGGGGCUAAACCAUGCACCGAAGCUGCGGCAGCGACACUAUGUGUUGUUGGGUAGGGGAGCGUUCUGUAAGCCUGUGAAGGUGUACUGUGAGGUAUGCUGGAGGUAUCAGAAGUGCGAAUGCUGACAUAAGUAACGAUAAAGCGGGUGAAAAGCCCGCUCGCCGGAAGACCAAGGGUUCCUGUCCAACGUUAAUCGGGGCAGGGUGAGUCGACCCCUAAGGCGAGGCCGAAAGGCGUAGUCGAUGGGAAACAGGUUAAUAUUCCUGUACUUGGUGUUACUGCGAAGGGGGGACGGAGAAGGCUAUGUUGGCCGGGCGACGGUUGUCCCGGUUUAAGCGUGUAGGCUGGUUUUCCAGGCAAAUCCGGAAAAUCAAGGCUGAGGCGUGAUGACGAGGCACUACGGUGCUGAAGCGACAAAUGCCCUGCUUCCAGGAAAAGCCUCUAAGCAUCAGGUAACAUCAAAUCGUACCCCAAACCGACACAGGUGGUCAGGUAGAGAAUACCAAGGCGCUUGAGAGAACUCGGGUGAAGGAACUAGGCAAAAUGGUGCCGUAACUUCGGGAGAAGGCACGCUGAUAUGUAGGUGAAGCGACUUGCUCGUGGAGCUGAAAUCAGUCGAAGAUACCAGCUGGCUGCAACUGUUUAUUAAAAACACAGCACUGUGCAAACACGAAAGUGGACGUAUACGGUGUGACGCCUGCCCGGUGCCGGAAGGUUAAUUGAUGGGGUUAGCGGUAACGCGAAGCUCUUGAUCGAAGCCCCGGUAAACGGCGGCCGUAACUAUAACGGUCCUAAGGUAGCGAAAUUCCUUGUCGGGUAAGUUCCGACCUGCACGAAUGGCGUAAUGAUGGCCAGGCUGUCUCCACCCGAGACUCAGUGAAAUUGAACUCGCUGUGAAGAUGCAGUGUACCCGCGGCAAGACGGAAAGACCCCGUGAACCUUUACUAUAGCUUGACACUGAACAUUGAGCCUUGAUGUGUAGGAUAGGUGGGAGGCUUUGAAGUGUGGACGCCAGUCUGCAUGGAGCCGACCUUGAAAUACCACCCUUUAAUGUUUGAUGUUCUAACGUGGGCCCCUUACCGGGGUUGCGGACAGUGUCUGGUGGGUAGUUUGACUGGGGCGGUCUCCUCCUAAAGAGUAACGGAGGAGCACGAAGGUUGGCUAAUCCUGGUCGGACAUCAGGAGGUUAGUGCAAUGGCAUAAGCCAGCUUGACUGCGAGCGUGACGGCGCGAGCAGGUGCGAAAGCAGGUCAUAGUGAUCCGGUGGUUCUGAAUGGAAGGGCCAUCGCUCAACGGAUAAAAGGUACUCCGGGGAUAACAGGCUGAUACCGCCCAAGAGUUCAUAUCGACGGCGGUGUUUGGCACCUCGAUGUCGGCUCAUCACAUCCUGGGGCUGAAGUAGGUCCCAAGGGUAUGGCUGUUCGCCAUUUAAAGUGGUACGCGAGCUGGGUUUAGAACGUCGUGAGACAGUUCGGUCCCUAUCUGCCGUGGGCGCUGGAGAACUGAGGGGGGCUGCUCCUAGUACGAGAGGACCGGAGUGGACGCAUCACUGGUGUUCGGGUUGUCAUGCCAAUGGCACUGCCCGGUAGCUAAAUGCGGAAGAGAUAAGUGCUGAAAGCAUCUAAGCACGAAACUUGCCCCGAGAUGAGUUCUCCCUGACUCCUUGAGAGUCCUGAAGGAACGUUGAAGACGACGACGUUGAUAGGCCGGGUGUGUAAGCGCAGCGAUGCGUUGAGCUAACCGGUACUAAUGAACCGUGAGGCUUAACCUUACAACGCCGAAG